GAGGAAUUUUCCGCAAUGGGCGAAAGCCUGACGGAGCAAUACCGCGUGGAGGACGAAAGCCUAUGGGUUGUAAACUCCUUUUCUUAGAAAAGAAGUUCUGACGGUAUCUAAAGAAUAAGCAUCGGCUAACUCCGUGCCAGCAGCCGCGGUAAUACGGGGGAUGCAAGCGUUAUCCGGAAUUAUUGGGUGUAAAGCGUCUGUAGGUUGCUUCUUUAAGUCAGUUGUUAAAUUUCAAAACUCAACUUUGAUAACAGCAACUGAAACUAAAAAGCUAGAGUCGAGUAGAGGCAGAAGGAACUCCGAGUGUAGCGGUGAAAUGCGUAGAUAUUCGGAAGAACACCGAUGGCGAA
Molecule: ribosomal RNA, 350 nt
Filed under: uncultured bacterium
Lineage: Bacteria
Description: bacterial SSU rRNA
Rfam family: Bacterial small subunit ribosomal RNA
Source: RNAcentral